Molecule: ribosomal RNA, 497 nt
Filed under: uncultured bacterium
Lineage: Bacteria
Description: partial 16S ribosomal RNA
Rfam family: Bacterial small subunit ribosomal RNA
Source: RNAcentral
GAUGAACGCUGGCGGCGUGCCUAAUACAUGCAAGUCGAGCGAACAGACGAGGAGCUUGCUCCUCUGACGUUAGCGGCGGACGGGUGAGUAACACGUGGAUAACCUACCUAUAAGACUGGGAUAACUUCGGGAAACCGGAGCUAAUACCGGAUAAUAUAUUGAACCGCAUGGUUCAAUAGUGAAAGACGGUUUUGCUGUCACUUAUAGAUGGAUCCGCGCCGCAUUAGCUAGUUGGUAAGGUAACGGCUUACCAAGGCAACGAUGCGUAGCCGACCUGAAAGGGUGAUCGGCCACACCGGAACUGAGACACGGUCCAGACUCCUACGGGAGGCAGCAGUAGGGAAUCUUCCGCAAUGGGCGAAAGCCUGACGGAGCAACGCCGCGUGAGUGAUGAAGGUCUUCGGAUCGUAAAACUCUGUUAUUAGGGAAGAACAAAUGUGUAAGUAACUAUGCACGUCUUGACGGUACCUAAUCAGAAAGCCACGGCUAACUACGUG